AUCAUUAUUCACAAUCAUCCAUGGUAAAGAGUCUCCAUAGUGACAAGUUUCAACUUUCAAUGUUGAAUAACAAUUUAGUAAGAAUUUGUAAUGAUUCAAUGUAAUAAAUCUUGUCAUAAAACUGGAGGAAGGGGCAGAAAACAACAGCAGGAAGACGCACUCGGCUUCAUGAUAGCAGAUCGUUAAUAUAUGCACAGCACAACAGCCGACAAUUCUAUAUUGUUGAAUCUCUGAAUGCUGAAGGAGAGUUAAUUAUUGACUUGAGCUGUAGAGAAAACAAGAACUUGGGACAUGGAAAAGAAAUUUUAGCACCAUUAGUUGGGAUUUGGAGUUGCAGCUUCUAGGGUUGUAGUGAUCUCAUUUUCUGGAGUGUUUUAUUGUGAUAAUGUGUGGUUGCUCGGUAUGUAAUACCAAACCAUCAUAUCUAAAUGUUUUGGGUAGGCCUGUUUGGUUUUUCGUUUUUAAAUAAAACUGAGAACCAGACCGAAUCGUACGGUCCUUGGAUCUUUGCUUGUUCAUUAGCCUCUGUUGCCAACCUGUAGCUUGUCUCGUAUAUGUGUUGAAGUGGUGAUCUGAAGCUUUAUACAUCUUUCCAAUCAUCUUAUCUCCUUUAGGUCUGCCAAUGUAAAAAUGAUGCUGUAGUGCAAGCAGCUGUUAUGGUUCUGAUGAUCUCUGUUAAGGUAAUUUAUUUUAACCAGCCAAUAACUAUAUUCACUACAACAACUUCAGCAUGCUGAUUUUCUUGUUGAAUAGAUGCAUAUGAAGUGAAAUUCUUGCAGUUGUCAUAUUCCCUUUUGUGAUUUAUUGGCUCCUACACAUGGGUAUAUUUGCAAUAUAAAUUAAGUUCACGGAUAAGCUUGAGCUCUUUUUCAAUUCAUUAAUAAAAUAAUGAUAGAGACUGCUUAUAUUGUCAAAGUUAUAAUCCUAUCUGGAUAGAAAGUUGUUGUUUGGGUGAUUACUCGUGUGAACUAGCAACUAGGCUAAUCCAAACCUGUGAAAUAGGUAAUUAUGUGCCAUUUACGUUUAAGUUAGCUGGUCAUGCCAGUAACUGUAAGGCAGUGGGAAGUUUAUUCUGCAUGACCGAGUGCAUAAAUGCUAAAGAAUCCCAAGUACCAUAGUGUUGACUGCCUUGAUGGGCUUACAGAUGACCAAAUACCAGAACGAUUUAAUUUAUAGGGGAAUAACUGGUAUGGACGUCCUUGAAUGAGGUGGGGGCUGGUGGCGGCAGCUAUGACGCACUUUUACCCUUUGAAAAAAGAUAAUAAAACAUUUUCGAGGCUGAGUUUGGUAUUUGUCUUAUUCUAUGACUGAAAUAGGGUUNN
RNAcentral lists this long non-coding RNA (1322 nucleotides) under Olea europaea (common olive). RNAcentral's name for it is "long non-coding RNA (OEUR_LNC013351)". Lineage: Eukaryota; Viridiplantae; Streptophyta; Magnoliopsida; Lamiales; Oleaceae. The record is from RNAcentral.